RNAcentral lists this ribosomal RNA (253 nucleotides) under uncultured bacterium. Its description in RNAcentral is "partial 16S ribosomal RNA". It matches the Rfam family "Bacterial small subunit ribosomal RNA", at positions 524 to 776 of the family's 1533-position model. The record is from RNAcentral.
UACAGAGGGUGCAAACGUUGCUCGGAAUCACUGGGCGUAAAGGGCGUGUCGGCGGGCAGAUAAGUCGGGCGUGAAAUCCCCAGGCUCAACCUGGGAACUGCACUCGAAACUGUUUGUCUUGAGUAUCGGAGAGGAAAGCGGAAUACCUGAUGUAGAGGUGAAAUUCGUAGAUAUCAGGUGGAACACCAGUGGCGAAGGCGGCUUUCUGGACGAUAACUGACGCUGAGACGCGAAAGCGUGGGGAGCAAACAGG